This 72-nucleotide transfer RNA is filed under the name Stigmatogobius pleurostigma. RNAcentral's name for it is "tRNA-Val". It matches the Rfam family "tRNA". From Rfam's summary of the family: Transfer RNA (tRNA) molecules are approximately 80 nucleotides in length. Their secondary structure includes four short double-helical elements and three loops (D, anti-codon, and T loops). Further hydrogen bonds mediate the characteristic L-shaped molecular structure. tRNAs have two regions of fundamental functional importance: the anti-codon, which is responsible for specific mRNA codon recognition, and the 3' end, to which the tRNAs corresponding amino acid is attached (by aminoacyl-tRNA synthetases). tRNAs cope with the degeneracy of the genetic code in two manners: having more than one tRNA (with a specific anti-codon) for a particular amino acid; and 'wobble' base-pairing, i.e. permitting non-standard base-pairing at the 3rd anti-codon position. Lineage: Eukaryota; Metazoa; Chordata; Actinopteri; Gobiiformes; Gobiidae. The record is from RNAcentral.
CAGAGUAUAGCUAAAAUAGAAUAGCAUCUCCCUUACACUGAGAAGGCACCCGUGCAAAUCGGGUUACACUGA